GCCCCCGUAGCCCAACUGGCCAGAGGCGACGGAUUUAAGUCCCGUGAAGUGUGGGUUCGACUCCCACCGGGGGCA
Molecule: transfer RNA, 75 nt
Filed under: Frankiaceae bacterium
Lineage: Bacteria; Bacillati; Actinomycetota; Actinomycetes; Frankiales; Frankiaceae
Description: tRNA-Leu
Rfam family: tRNA
About the family: Transfer RNA (tRNA) molecules are approximately 80 nucleotides in length.
Source: RNAcentral